Molecule: ribosomal RNA, 1469 nt
Filed under: uncultured Bordetella sp.
Lineage: Bacteria; Pseudomonadati; Pseudomonadota; Betaproteobacteria; Burkholderiales; Alcaligenaceae
Description: partial 16S-23S ribosomal RNA intergenic spacer
Rfam family: Bacterial small subunit ribosomal RNA
Source: RNAcentral
AGUUCGAUUCUGGCUCAGAUUGAACGCUGGCGGGAUGCUUUACACAUGCAAGUCGAACGGGCAGCACGUGGACUUCGGUCUGGUGGCGAGUGGCGAACGGGUGAGUAAUGUAUCGGAACGUGCCUAGUAGCGGGGGAUAACUACGCAAAGCGUAGCACACGUAUACGCCCUUCGGGGGAAAGCGGGGGACCUUCGGGCCUCGCACUAUUAGAGCGGCCGAUAUCGGAUUAGCUAGUUGGUGGGGUAACGGCUCACCGUAUGAAUGAUCCGCAGCUGGUUUGAGAGGACGACCAGCCACACUGGGACUGAGACACGGCCCAGACUCCUACGGGAGGCAGCAGUGGGGAAUUUUGGACAAUGGGGGAAACCUGAAUCCAGCCAUCCCGCGUGUGCGAUGAAGGCCUUCGGGUUGUAAAGCACUUUGGCAGGAAAGAAACGGCACGGGAUAAUACCCCGUGCAACUGACGGUACCUGCAGAAUAAGCACUGCUAACUACGCGGUAAUACGUAGGGUGCAAGUGUUAAUCGGAAUUACUGCUAAAGCGUGCGCAGGCGGUUCGGAAGAAAGAUGUGAAAUCCCAGAGCUUAACUUUGGAACUGUAUUUUUAACUACCGAGCUAGGAGUAAGUCAGAGGGAGGCGGAAUUCCGCGUGUAGCAGUGAAAUGCGUAGAUAUGCGGAGGGAACACCUGAUGGCGAAGGCAGCCUCCUGGGAUAACACUGACGCUCAUGCACGAAAGGGUGGGGAGCAAACAGGAUUAGAUACCCUGGUAGUCCACGCCCUAAACGAUGUCAACUAGCUGUUGGGGCCUUCGGGCUCGGUAGCGCAGCUAACGGGCAGAAGUUGACCGCCUGGGGAGUACGGUCGCAAGAUUAAACCUAAAGGAAUUGACGGGGACCUACCAAGCGGUGGAUGAUGUGGAUUAAUUCGAUGCAACGCGAAAACCUUACCUACCCUUGACAUGUCUGGAAUCCCGAAGAGAUUUGGGAGUGUCGCAAGAGAACCGGAACACAGGUGCUGCAUGGCUGUCGUCAGCUCGUCGAGAUGUUGGGUUAAGUCCCGCAACGAGCGCAACCCUUGUCAUUAGUUGUUACGAAAGGGCACUCUAUCGAGAUCAGCCGGUGACAAACCGAGGAAGGUGGGGAUGACGUCAAGUCCUCUCAUGGCCCUUAUGGGUAGGGCUUCACACGUCAUACAAUGGUCGGGACAGGAGGGUCGCCAACCCAAGCGAGGGGGAAGCAAUCCCAGAAACCCGAUCGUAGUCCGAUCGCAGUCUGCAACUCGACUGCGUGAAGUCGGAAUCGAUAGUAAUCGUGGAUCAACAUGUCGCGGUGAAUACGUUCCCGGUCUUGUACACACCGCUCAUCACACCAUGGGAGUGGGUUUUACCAGAAGUAGUUAGCCUAACCGUAAGGAGGGCGAUUACCACGGUAGGAUUCAUGACUGGGGUGGGAAGUCAAUGGGCGUAAU